CCUACGGGAGGCAGCAGUGGGGAAUAUUGGACAAUGGGGGCAACCCUGAUCCAGCAAUGCCGCGUGUGUGGAGAAGGCCUUCGGGUUGUAAAGCACUUUUAUCCGGAACGAAACGCGCUUGGUGAAUAGCCAGGCGAACUGACGGUACCGGAGGAAUAAGCACCGGCUAACUUCGUGCCAGCAGCCGCGGUAAU
Molecule: ribosomal RNA, 194 nt
Filed under: uncultured bacterium
Lineage: Bacteria
Description: partial 16S ribosomal RNA
Rfam family: Bacterial small subunit ribosomal RNA
Source: RNAcentral